GGCUCGGGAGCCACCUGACGGGACAGGUGGCAGGUAUGGAGCCCAAACCCCCUUCCUGCCCAGUGGCGCGCCUCUGUGACCCGACAGAGCGCA
This 93-nucleotide non-coding RNA is filed under the name unclassified sequences. RNAcentral describes it as "Rhodo-rpoB RNA". It matches the Rfam family "Rhodo-rpoB RNA". The record is from RNAcentral.